RNAcentral lists this long non-coding RNA (978 nucleotides) under Vigna radiata. RNAcentral's name for it is "long non-coding RNA (VRAD_LNC012447)". Lineage: Eukaryota; Viridiplantae; Streptophyta; Magnoliopsida; Fabales; Fabaceae. The record is from RNAcentral.
UUCAUACUCAUUCUUAACCUCUCUCGAGCUCGCACACACAAAGCACUCUCUCAAACCCUAACACUCGCGAUUUCUCCCUCUCAUUCACAAAUCACUUGCGAUUUCUCCUUCUCCCUCCCAUUGGCAGCCUCACAAAUCACUCGCGAGUCCACUGAUAAUUGCCUUUCUAUCGUUUGUUCUUCGAUCUCCAUCGAUUUCCACCGUUUAAACACUUUUGUACCAACCAAUCUUGAGUUUGAAUUGAUUAAUCGGUUCAUAUUAAGUUUCUUCGCAUUUUUAGGGUUCCUUCGGUCUUGAUUAGGGUUCGUCCUCCAUUUAUGAGUUUUUCCCCAAUCGUUCUAGCUUUUAUCCGUUCGUUUAGGGUUUUCUAACAUUUUCUUCCGUUCAUUCUCUAUUUCACUCUCCAUCUCGAGUUCGUCUCGUUAUUCUACUAUGUUUGCUCAUCAAGGAAGCUUCGAAGGAGUUUGAGUCGAGUCCACAUCACUCUUCUGGUCAUCUUCUGGUCAUCUUCUUGGAAGCUCUUCUAUCGAGUGGUAUUAAGAUCAAGGACAAGCACACUACAUGAGAUAAGUAUUGCUUUCCUUAUUUCUAUUAAUUUGUCUUGAAUUGAUUCCAGUUGAUUGUUCUCUAUUUUGAGUUUUGCAUAUCUGCUUGUUGAGUUUUCUUCAAUUUUUUCGCAUUGUUAAUUUUACUUUUCCUUUGAUGUAUUGAUUUGUUGUAAGCUGCGUUUUGUUUUCAUUCAUUGUUGUCUUGAGUUCUAUUUUGUUAUUUUGCUCAUAAACUGUUUGUUUAAAUGUCUAAGAGAGCUAAUCUGAAAAUGUUCAUUCUUGAAUCAAGCCUAGCAUUCACGUUCCUCUUUUCCUUUUUCUUAUUCUCUCUUUUCAUUUCUUCUUCCUCACCUAGAAGCCAUCAAAACCUAGGAACCCAUUGUGCAAUGGGACGUGAGAGGAAGCAAUUAUGUUCGGAGAGAAAUGGAAU